Molecule: ribosomal RNA, 573 nt
Filed under: Tympanopleura atronasus
Lineage: Eukaryota; Metazoa; Chordata; Actinopteri; Siluriformes; Auchenipteridae
Also listed under: 1 other name
Description: partial 16S ribosomal RNA
Rfam family: Bacterial large subunit ribosomal RNA
Source: RNAcentral
GCCUCCUGCAAAACCCAAAGUAUAGGAGGUCUUACCUGCCCAGUGACAAGUUAAACGGCCGCGGUAUUUUGACCGUGCAAAGGUAGCGCAAUCACUUGUCUUUUAAAUGAAGACCUGUAUGAAUGGUGGAACGAGGGCUUAACUGUCUCCCCUUUCAAGUCAAUGAAAUUGAUCUGCCCGUGCAGAAGCGGACAUACAAAUACAAGACGAGAAGACCCUUUGGAGCUUAAGACACAAGAUCAACUAUGUCAAUAUAAUAAAAACAUUAAGUUAAACUAAAUAGCAUCUGAUCCUUGUCUUCGGUUGGGGCGACCGCGGAAGAAAACAAAGCUUCCAUGAGGACAGGGGCCACAGGCCCUAAAACCAAGAAAGACAUUUCUAAGUAACAGAAUAUCUGACCACUAAGAUCCGGGCAACCAGCCCGAUCAACGGACCAAGUUACCCUAGGGAUAACAGCGCAAUCCCCUUUAAGAGUCCAUAUCGACAAGGGGGUUUACGACCUCGAUGUUGGAUCAGGACAUCCUAAUGGUGCAGCCGCUAUUAAGGGUUCGUUUGUUCAACGAUUAAAGUCCU